CAGUGGCGAACGGGUGAGUAACACGUGGGCAAUCUGCCCUGCACUCUGGGACAAGCCUUGGAAACGAGGUCUAAUACCGGAUAUUACCCUGGACCGCAUGGUCNUGGGUGGAAAGCUCCGGCGGUGCAGGAUGAGCCCGCGGCCUAUCAGCUUGUUGGUGGGGUGAUGGCCUACCAAGGCGACGACGGGUAGCCGGCCUGAGAGGGCGACCGGCCACACUGGGACUGAGACACGGCCCAGACUCCUACGGGAGGCAGCAGUGGGGAAUAUUGCACAAUGGGCGCAAGCCUGAUGCAGCGACGCCGCGUGAGGGAUGAAGGCCUUCGGGUUGUAAACCUCUUUCAGCAGGGAAGAAGCGCAAGUGACGGUACCUGCAGAAGAAGCACCGGCUAACUACGUGCCAGCAGCCGCGGUAAUACGUAGGGUGCGAGCGUUGUCCGGAAUUAUUGGGCGUAAAGAGCUCGUAGGCGGCUUGUCGCGUCGGAUGUGAAAGCCCGGGGCUUAACCCCGGGUCUGCAUUCGAUACGGGCAGGCUGGAGUGUGGUAGGGGAGAUCGGAAUUCCU
RNAcentral lists this ribosomal RNA (564 nucleotides) under Streptomyces sp. 384B03. RNAcentral's name for it is "bacterial SSU rRNA". It matches the Rfam family "Bacterial small subunit ribosomal RNA", at positions 93 to 671 of the family's 1533-position model. Lineage: Bacteria; Bacillati; Actinomycetota; Actinomycetes; Kitasatosporales; Streptomycetaceae. The record is from RNAcentral.